UAAUAACAGAGUCCACUUUGAAUCCCAGUGAACCGACCCUUAUGACCCAUGUAUUAUGAUGAGCGGGGGGAACGCAGUGGCUCCCUCUAAGUAGGUCAGGCACCAAUUGGUAGUCAACGCCACAGACCCAGGGAGAUUUAAUGAGACGACAACCAGACAGAGACGAAGAUGGAAAGAGGGCCCCAAGCGCGUGUCCCCAGGCACCACAAUCUGGCAACAGGGCCCAGCCCAUGUCAGUUCUCUCCCAGAUGGACCAGAACAAACUUUCGGAAACUCCUAACACGGGAUCCACAGCCCAGGCUGAGCCUCGAGCCUUGGCUCUGGCAGCAGGAACGACCAAGCUCAAAUUAAAAACAAACCCUGAAUCAGAUGGAGAUGGGGACGCAAGUAGCAGGCACAGAAAUAGCACAGGGCACGGUGUUCGGAGAGGCAGGGAGUGAGUGGAAGGCUGCUACAGAGCAGGCAAGGCAGAAACAAAACGGCUCUAAGCUCGUGUCCACAAAAGCCAGGCCCCUUUGCUGGGAUCUCUGUGCCACCAUUCCCGUCCCUCGUCCAGGCUGGCCAGUAUCGCUGGCACCUGCACCCCGGCUGGCAGAUGGAGAGGCCAGGCGCGUUAAAUCCAGUGCCUACUCACUCCACCAUCACGAAGGUCACCGAGCAGCAGCUGAGCGCCUAGAGUCCUCCUUGAGAGGCAGGAUCCGGCCGUGACAACGCCAUCUCCAAGAUUUGUUAAAGUAGUAAAGAGAGCUGACUCUGGGGCAAGUCGCCUGUAUCUGAAUUCGGCCCCUUGUAGUUAUGACUAACUGGACAACCUCAGACAAGCUACCGAACCUCUGUAUCCCUCCAUCUCCUCAUCUCUAAAACGGAGAUAACUACGGUACCGCCCUCACAGCGUUCUUGUAAAAUUUAAACAAGUUCAUGCAUGUAACGCACUUAGCAUACAGCAAGCCCCGGAUAAACGUUGCCUACUUUGAUCAUUACUGUCAUCAUUAGUAUGAUCUACGUCCGCCGGUUGAAUGGAACUCAGAGCUUGGUGUUCAGGCUAUAAUGGUAUGAUCACAGUUUUGGAAAAUCCAGUAAUACAGAGGGAUGCAGACCCAGAGAGAAACAGCUCGAUGCAAUUUCAUUUGCUGGAAAUUCAGAAUAUUUAGAGAAAACAAGAAAUCAAAGUUCCCCGACCUUCUCUAGCCUUUUCUCUUGCCCUCUCCCCCAAGGAUCCAGAAAAGAGAAGCCAACAGAUGUCCAGGUACCUUUAACAUUUUUUAAAAAUAAAAAAAAAUAUUGCAUUAAAUAUUGCUUACGUUGAUCACUGCAUUUUGGGGGCACUCAAGUUUUAGACUCUGUUCAUCGACUCACUCACUUCAUCCUGGCUCUGGCCUUGGCUGGGAGAUAAUGAGCAAGUCAUACGGAGACAUAAUUAAGAUGCAGAUUCUGCUCCAGCAGGUCUGCGGGAAAGAGCUGAGGUCCUGCCCUUCUAAUAAGUGCCCAGGUGACGGCUGUGCACUGCGGAGGCUCGGGACAGUGGGCCGGGGAGGCACACACCUGAGCUUCAUUUUGGUGUCUCUUUGAUGUGAUUGUUUUCAGACAACUUGGAAACUCUCUCAUUAUUCAUGGGAACCUCUGUUGUUAAAUCUGUGGCCAAGUCCUUGAACCCAGAGGCAGAGAACAUUCGUUGUUUUGUUUUGUUCUAAAUCAAACAAAUUAAAGCAAAUACCUACAGACUCCUGGUGACUGCCCUUUGGGGAGUUCAUUUAACUUUCUGUUUCCCUCGCUCCUCUGCCUGGCUGUGGAGGCAGGGGCAGGAAUAUCACAGAGGACAGGAUGGGACUGUGCAUUGGUUAGCACUGCAAAAACACUGGGCUCCAGAGGGAAUCAGUUGCUGAUGAGAGUAAUAAAACAGCACUAGUUCGGCAUACCCAAACUGUCUUCCACUGCCCUUCAGUAAAACUCCAGGGAGGAGCAAGAGCGCAGGUGCUUUGGGCUUAGCAACUGGGAUGCAGAUGACCUGUUCCUUCACUUAUUAGCUGUGUGACCUCAGGCAUGUGACUUAACCUCCCUGAACCUUAUUUAUUUCUCAGUCCAGUAGAUCAUUCUAAUGGUGUCUACCUUACAGGAUUUUUGCUGUGAGAUAAUUCAUAAAUACAUGGAAAAUACAAUUACUUUUCCCAAAGUCCAAAAAAGCACCCAAGCAGUUGAACAUUAAUAAGAAGCUCCCAUGGAUGUACACUUGUUUGUAAUUUUCACCUCUAUCUCCAAGUCCAAGACUUUCUCAGAACGUGUGUGUGUUCAAAAGAGUAUUUUUUCUGUAUAAACCCUUCCUAAUUAUUGUACAGAGUAAUGCAAAAAUUAUUAAAGUGAUAUUAAAGCCUCUUCCAUCCUUGGGUGGAAGAGAUGGUUAACAUUUCUGAUUAAAAUGCAUGUACCUGGGGACAUCCUUUCAAAAGGAAGAGAGCCCCCCUCAACACACACAUGUACACGCACACGCACACACGCAUUUAUCGUUCUCCUCCUCACAUCCCAUACCCUCCAGCACAGAGCACUGUGUCCUACACAUGGUAGGUCCUGGCAAACACGAGCAGACUGAUUCCACAGAAGGAGAAGCCCGUAUGCUGGGUGAUCUGUUCACAUCGCCACCAUUUGGGGUGUGUACUGCCAGACUGGUCUGCCAGCCUGACUAGACUAAAGGGAUGGAGAAAAGAGGACUGGAAGAAACAGCUAUCAGCCUUUAAUUUUCACCAAGGUCUGGAACAGAGUAUCAGACAAGCUUGCUUUUCACUAAAUGAGACACAGCAACUCAGGCAGAGGAUUACAGGAAUCCACAUGUGACAGUGGCCUCUCAGACAACAUUGUCCAAAAGCCCUUAACCCACUCUCCGUGUGGGGGGAAGGGACUCUUCAUCAAAUCCUGCUUUCGGGACCAUCUGUGCCCCUGCCCGUGUAAACAAGCCCCUCAGCUCUCAUUCAAGUAUUGUUGCAAAUUUGCCUGUUCUGGGCACUGUUGCUCCAGGCUGUGGGCCACUGCAGAGAGCCUUUCUUCCUUCAGGGAUUUCUCUGUCUAAACGAGAUUUAUGAUGAUCCUUUGGCAAGAAUCUCUGAAUCACUGGCUUUCACAAUAUAGCCAAAAGGGUAUUUCAGGAGAAUCUACCUCUAACAAGCAAUACAGCCCUGCAGAUUUAUCUCUUUUGAUGAAACAGGCACAGCCCAGUGCUCCCAGAAUACCAUCCCUGGACAAGGUGCUGCUGCAAAGCCGGUGUAGACCACAUGGCACUGACUGGACCAGCUCUGACUCAAACAGCUGAGUGACACUGAGGCAGCUAUUUAACCUCUCUGAACAAGGGUCUCAUCUAUAAAAUGGAAACGAUUAAGUCUUCUUCAUGGGGCUGUCAUGAAGGUUACAUUGUUGCUGUGAGAUAAUUCAUAUAUACGUACUUUUGUAUGAUACAUAAACAAUCACAUUAACUUUCCCAAAGUAAAAAAAAAAAAAAAAAAA
Vicugna pacos (alpaca) is the source of this 3489-nucleotide non-coding RNA. Lineage: Eukaryota; Metazoa; Chordata; Mammalia; Artiodactyla; Camelidae. The record is from RefSeq and is a predicted model, not a curated record.